RNAcentral lists this ribosomal RNA (758 nucleotides) under uncultured bacterium. RNAcentral describes it as "bacterial SSU rRNA". It matches the Rfam family "Bacterial small subunit ribosomal RNA", at positions 8 to 748 of the family's 1533-position model. The record is from RNAcentral.
AGAGUUUGAUCAUGGCUCAGGAUGAACGCUGGCGGCGUGCCUAAUACAUGCAAGUCGAGCGAAUGAUGAGGAGCUUGCUCCUCUGAUUUAGCGGCGGACGGGUGAGUAACACGUGGGUAAUCUGCCUGUAAGACGGGGAUAACUCCGGGAAACCGGGGCUAAUACCGGAUAAUAAGAGAAGAAGCAUUUCUUCUUUUUGAAAGUCGGCAUCUCGCUGACACUUACAGAUGAGCCCGCGGCGCAUUAGCUAGUUGGUGAGGUAACGGCUCACCAAGGCGACGAUGCGUAGCCGACCUGAGAGGGUGAUCGGCCACACUGGGACUGAGACACGGCCCAGACUCCUACGGGAGGCAGCAGUAGGGAAUCUUCGGCAAUGGGCGAAAGCCUGACCGAGCAACGCCGCGUGAGCGAUGAAGGCCUUCGGGUCGUAAAGCUCUGUUGUUAGAGAAGAACAAGUACGAGAGUAACUGCUCGUACCUCGACGGUACCUAACCAGAAAGCCACGGCUAACUACGUGCCAGCAGCCGCGGUAAUACGUAGGUGGCAAGCGUUAUCCGGAAUUAUUGGGCGUAAAGCGCGCGCAGGCGGUCUCUUAAGUCUGAUGUGAAAGCCCACGGCUCAACCGUGGAGGGUCAUUGGAAACUGGGAGACUUGAGUGCAGGAGAGAAAAGUGGAAUUCCACGUGUAGCGGUGAAAUGCGUAGAGAUGUGGAGGAACACCAGUGGCGAAGGCGGCUUUUUGGCCUGUAACUGACGCUG